UUCCUUCGGGGUCGGGUGCAAUUCCCAACCGACGGUGAUGGCAUGCGUUAUUUGAUGGGGCUUCUUAAGCCUGAUGAGAUGCAUGCACGAGUCCGUGACCUGUAUAUCACUUGAUUUCUAAUCAUGAGAUAUAUGGCUGAGCCGGUGAGAUUCCGGGACCGACAGUAUAGUCUGGAUGGGAGAAGGA
RNAcentral lists this non-coding RNA (187 nucleotides) under uncultured Paenibacillus sp. Its description in RNAcentral is "FMN riboswitch (RFN element)". It matches the Rfam family "FMN riboswitch aptamer (RFN element)". From Rfam's summary of the family: The RFN element is a highly conserved domain that is found frequently in the 5'-untranslated regions of prokaryotic mRNAs that encode for flavin mononucleotide (FMN) biosynthesis and transport proteins. This element is a metabolite-dependent riboswitch that directly binds FMN in the absence of proteins. Lineage: Bacteria; Bacillati; Bacillota; Bacilli; Caryophanales; Paenibacillaceae. The record is from RNAcentral.